AGCGUACGUGCCCCUAUGCCGCUUUUCACUGGGCUGCAGUCGAAACGCACUAGCAUGAAGGCUUUCGUCGUCGCUCUGCUCGUCAGCAUCGUGGCUGUGGCGCUUGGCGUCGACGAGGAGCCACCGGUAACGAUCGAGUGGCCUCCGCGUCCCCAGCCGUGCGGGGAAGGCGAGACGUGGAAACAGUGCGUAAGCGGAAGCUGCGCCGAGGCCACCUGCGCUCGGCCACAGAUUGGACCGCAGUGCACAUCCGACUGCCGUUACGGGUGCUACUGCGCCGAUGGUUUCUACAGAAACUCGCGGCAGGUCUGCGUCACCCGCGACAAAUGUCCCUGAAAAGUGGUCGCCGAGCAAGACAUCUAGGCUGCAUGAUCGCCAUGGAUUAAGCCUUCACCUGUCAAUCUCAAAUAAAUUUGGCAAUAAAAGCAGCGAGGGGACAGUUUUAGUCCACA
Rhipicephalus sanguineus (brown dog tick) is the source of this 452-nucleotide long non-coding RNA. RefSeq lists it as uncharacterized. The record is from RefSeq and is a predicted model, not a curated record. The transcript is spliced from 3 exons. Lineage: Eukaryota; Metazoa; Arthropoda; Arachnida; Ixodida; Ixodidae.